GGCGUCGAGCGGCGGACGGGUGAGUAAUGCCUAGGAAAUUGCCCUGAUGUGGGGGAUAACCAUUGGAAACGAUGGCUAAUACCGCAUGAUGCCUACGGGCCAAAGAGGGGGACCUUCGGGCCUCUCGCGUCAGGAUAUGCCUAGGUGGGAUUAGCUAGUUGGUGAGGUAAGGGCUCACCAAGGCGACGAUCCCUAGCUGGUCUGAGAGGAUGAUCAGCCACACUGGAACUGAGACACGGUCCAGACUCCUACGGGAGGCAGCAGUGGGGAAUAUUGCACAAUGGGCGCAAGCCUGAUGCA
RNAcentral lists this ribosomal RNA (300 nucleotides) under Vibrio parahaemolyticus. Its description in RNAcentral is "bacterial SSU rRNA". It matches the Rfam family "Bacterial small subunit ribosomal RNA", at positions 87 to 390 of the family's 1533-position model. The record is from RNAcentral. Lineage: Bacteria; Pseudomonadati; Pseudomonadota; Gammaproteobacteria; Vibrionales; Vibrionaceae.